GAUGAAGAACGCAGCGAAAUGCGAUAAGUAAUGUGAAUUGCAGAAUUCAGUGAAUCAUCGAAUCUUUGAACGCACCUUGCGCCCUUUGGCCAUUCCGAAGGGCAUGCCUGUUUGAGUAUCAUGAACACCUCAACUCUUCAUGGUUUUCCGUGAUGAGCUUGGACUUUGGGGGUCUUGCUGGCCUAUGGUCAGCUCCUCUAAAAUAAAUCAGCUUGCCAGUGUUUGGUGGGUAUCACAGGUGUGAUAACUAUCUACGCUUGUGGUUUUCCACCAGGUAACCUUCAGCAGUGGAGGUUCGCUGGAGCUCACAGAUGUGUCUCUCCUCAGUGAGGACAGCUCUUUGAAUAUUUGAUCUCAAAUCAGGUAGGACUACCCGCUGAACUUAAGCAUAUCAAAAGCGGAGGA
Molecule: unclassified non-coding RNA, 405 nt
Filed under: soil metagenome
Description: partial contains 5.8S ribosomal RNA, internal transcribed spacer 2, and large subunit ribosomal RNA
Rfam family: 5.8S ribosomal RNA (bases 1-121)
Source: RNAcentral